This 251-nucleotide ribosomal RNA is filed under the name uncultured bacterium. RNAcentral's name for it is "partial 16S ribosomal RNA". It matches the Rfam family "Bacterial small subunit ribosomal RNA", at positions 105 to 353 of the family's 1533-position model. The record is from RNAcentral.
GGUGAGUAACGCGUGGGUAACCUGCCUCAUACAGGGGGAGUAACAGUUAGAAAUGACUGCUAAUACCGCAUAAGCGCACAGUGCUGCAUGGCACAGUGUGAAAAACUCCGGUGGUAUGAGAUGGACCCGCGUCUGAUUAGCUAGUUGGUGGGGUAACGGCCUACCAAGGCGACGAUCAGUAGCCGGCCUGAGAGGGUGAACGGCCACAUUGGGACUGAGACACGGCCCAAACUCCUACGGGAGGCAGCAUG